This 245-nucleotide small nuclear RNA is filed under the name Ophiophagus hannah (king cobra). Its description in RNAcentral is "7SK RNA". It matches the Rfam family "7SK RNA". Rfam says of the family: 7SK was discovered as an abundant small nuclear RNA in the mid-70s but a possible function has only recently been suggested. Two independent studies have found that 7SK RNA binds the CDK9/cyclin T complex (known as elongation factor P-TEFb). P-TEFb activates transcription by phosphorylating the C-terminal domain of RNA polymerase II. The record is from Rfam by way of RNAcentral. Lineage: Eukaryota; Metazoa; Chordata; Lepidosauria; Squamata; Elapidae.
AGGUAGAAUGAUAUCUGUCAUCCCAUUGAUCAGCAGAGUUGAUUUGGCUGCUCUAGUUGGCUAGACGGGUUUCCCAUUCCUCUCUCAUUGCUCCAUGUGCAUCCCUGAUGAAGCUUGGUGGAAGAGGACAGCCAUCCCAGAUAGAAGGAAUGUACCAAUCUUCGAUCAAGGGUACACAAUAUUUUUUUUAUCAGUAAACCAGAUAAGCAUAAGGUUGUCUUCAUCUUUGUCUGCUGACGUCUUUU